AGUGAACGCUGGCGGCAUGCCUAAUACAUGCAAGUCGAGCGGCAGCACAGUAAGCUUGCGCCCUUACGGGUAGCGAGGGGCGGACGGGUGAGACAUACAUCGCCUUCUUAUAUUACUUGGGGGACAACGGAGAAAAAGUUACACUAAUAGCUCAUAUAAUCUACGGCAUAGAGCAGUAGAUCAUGGCACCUUUCGUGUUACAUUUAGACGAUGUCGCAUUAGCUAGUUGGCGAGGUAAGGGCCCACCAAGGCGACGAUACGUAGCUGGUCUGAGAGGAUGAUCGGCCACACUGGAACUGAGACACGGUCCAGACUCCUACGGGAGGCAGCAGUGGGGAAUCUUGGGCAAUGGGCGAAAGCCUGACGGAGCAACGCCGCGUGAGUGAAGAAGGUCUUCGGAUUGUAAAACUCUGUUGUUAGGGAAGAAAAAAUGCAGAAGUAACCAUCGACGUUUUGACGGUACCCAAAGAGAAAGCAACGGCUAACUACGUG
This 492-nucleotide ribosomal RNA is filed under the name uncultured bacterium. RNAcentral describes it as "partial 16S ribosomal RNA". It matches the Rfam family "Bacterial small subunit ribosomal RNA", at positions 29 to 507 of the family's 1533-position model. The record is from RNAcentral.